GAUGAACGCUGGCGGCGUGCCUAAUACAUGCAAGUCGAGCGAACAGAUGAGGAGCUUGCUCCUCUGACGUUAGCGGCGGACGGGUGAGUAACACGUGGAUAACCUACCUAUAAGACUGGGAUAACUUCGGGAAACCGGAGCUAAUACCGGAUAAUAUAUUGAACCGCAUGGUUCAAUAGUGAAAGACGGUUUUGCUGUCACUUAUAGAUGGAUCCGCGCCGCAUUAGCUAGUUGGUAAGGUAACGGCUUACCAAGGCAACGAUGCGUAGCCGACCUGAGAGGGUGAUCGGCAACACUGGAACUGAGACACGGUCCAGACUCCUACGGGAGGCAGCAGUAGGGAAUCUUCCGCAAUGGGCGAAAGCUUGCCGGAGCAACGCCGCGUGAGUGAUGAAGGUCUUCGGAUCGUAAAACUCUGUUAUUAGGGAAGAACAAAUGUGUAAGUAACUAUGCACGUCUUGACGGUACCUAAUCAGAAAGCCACGGCUAACUACGUG
This 497-nucleotide ribosomal RNA is filed under the name uncultured bacterium. RNAcentral describes it as "partial 16S ribosomal RNA". It matches the Rfam family "Bacterial small subunit ribosomal RNA", at positions 28 to 507 of the family's 1533-position model. The record is from RNAcentral.